CCGUGGCCAUUUUGGCUCGCUCAAG
RNAcentral lists this small RNA (25 nucleotides) under Karenia brevis. Its description in RNAcentral is "trans-spliced leader sequence SL". The record is from RNAcentral. Lineage: Eukaryota; Dinophyceae; Gymnodiniales; Kareniaceae.